CCGAAAUUGUGAAAUUACUGUCAGUCUGUCCUGCUUUGGAAACUAUUGAGUUUCUUAAGGUUGGGGAUUUUUCAUAGCCUGGAAAUUAAUUCUUUCAAAGUAGAAAGCCUGAAAUUGUAAGGUUAUUGGAUGGAUGAUGAUGGAAGCGAAAGUGAUAGUUCCUUGGAAAUUUUUGCCCCAAAUAUUCACGAUUUGCUGCUUUCACAUGAUUUGCAUGAUUUCACGUGUAGGCUUGUAGAUGUAUCCUCUGUGGUUAAAGCUAAGGAUAGUCCUUGUCAAGAUUCUGAUGAUGAGGAAGACAGUUGCAGUGAUUAUUAUCAAGAUUCUGAUGACGAGGAAGACUGUCCCAGUGAUUAUUAUUAUCAUGAUUCUGAUGAUGAUGAGGAUAA
This 389-nucleotide unclassified non-coding RNA is filed under the name Hevea brasiliensis (rubber tree). Lineage: Eukaryota; Viridiplantae; Streptophyta; Magnoliopsida; Malpighiales; Euphorbiaceae. The record is from RNAcentral.